This 517-nucleotide ribosomal RNA is filed under the name uncultured bacterium. RNAcentral describes it as "partial 16S ribosomal RNA". It matches the Rfam family "Bacterial small subunit ribosomal RNA", at positions 29 to 523 of the family's 1533-position model. The record is from RNAcentral.
AACGAACGCUGGCGGCGUGCCUAACACAUGCAAGUCGCACGAUGUUUAGGGGGCAACUCCUGAACAUAGUGGCGCACGGGUGAGUAACACGUAGGUAACCUACCCUUCACUGGGGAAUAACCUGUCGAAAGACGGGCUAAUUCCGCAUACGUCCAAGCCUACUCUGGUAGAUUUGGGGAAAGGCGGCCCGCAAGGGCUGUCGGUGAGGGAUGGGCCUGCGUACCAUUAGCUAGUUGGUGGGGUAAUGGCCUACCAAGGCGACGAUGGUUAGCUGGUCUGAGAGGAUGAUCAGCCACACUGGAACUGACACACGGUCCAGACUCCUACGGGAGGCAGCAGUGGGGAAUAUUGCGCAAUGGGCGAAAGCCUGACGCAGCAACGCCGCGUGAGGGAUGAAGGUUCUCGGAUUGUAAACCUCUGUCGGGGGGGACAAAAAACUAUGCUGGCUAAUAUCCAGCGUAAUUGAUGGUACCCCCAAAGGAAGCACCGGCUAACUCCGUGCCAGCCGCCGCAGUAA